GGCCAAGCUGGGAGCUACAGAAAUAAAGUUAGCUAGUUAAAAUUAAAAUUAACCCUUAACAGAUUCUCAUAAUUUUGGAAGCAAUGAUUAAGUUUGUCAAUUAGUCAUUUUAAAAUUGCAAGAAAAAUUCCUGAAACACUAGGAAUUUAUCCCAUUCUGUAAGAAAAGAAAAGAAAAAAACAAACUAGGUGAAGAGCAACUUUUUGUUAGCCCUUCCUUGAUUCCUAUCUUGUCCAGAGUCCCCUUUGACUCCUUUGGGAAAGCACCCCAGAAUAUUACCCUCUCCACACCACUCCCCAGAGUGGUCCUGAAUGUAUCUCAAUUGUGGGCAUUGUUAACAAGAUCAAUAUAGCCCAAGCCCCUCUUUUCCUAAAUCCUCUAUCUCAGAUCAGAUUAAAACUCAAAUUCUGCCUCACCUGUAGAAAUAGGGGAAGCAGCCUAUGGAGACCCCACAAAACCUUGCACAAACACCUCCCUAACCCAGUUUUGGGGGAGUGGGUGUAAGGCCCAAUGGUCAGCAUUCCCUGAGCCCUGGCACCUGAAACUACCAUCAAAAGGAUAUCCUGGCAUCCAUCACUCCAGCUUUCAGCAGGUUCUGUCCAGUAACUGCUUGGGAAGACCCAGCAUGGUGAUGAGAAAACCAGUCAGCCUCUGCAUUUAUUCUGAAUUUGAUUCCUGGUCAUUAAAUCAGAAGCCCACCCUUUGAGAAAGAAAUGCCAUAAAUUGCUCAGAGAAUGCCCUCCUGAAAUGUCUAGAUGGACAACUUAUCUGGGCAAAAAAGCUGGGAGUACACAACGUUAGCCUCUGCUUAAGGAUCCAAGCUGUGAACUUUCAACUAUUUGUUCACCUUGAAUACCAUUGGCUAACUGAUCCUGCACCUCUCUGAAUGCUGCUGCCACUAUCUUCAAGUCACAUGUCUCCAAUCCUUAAUUUGGACCCCUUCUAAAUAUGGACAGCUCUAAGCCCCUUAUCAUCAUGAAGCAGCUUCAGGAGAUGAAAUCUUCUUACCCUUUGUCCCAAAUGAAUUUGGGGUAUAAACUUCUUGAGAGGGAAAAUGAUGUAAUACAGCAAUGAUUUCUGUGGUCCCCUAAUUUUAGGGGGCUUCUGUUCUAACAAUAAGUCAGUCAUCCUAAAUCUUUUGGUUUU
Molecule: long non-coding RNA, 1146 nt
Organism: Sarcophilus harrisii (Tasmanian devil)
Lineage: Eukaryota; Metazoa; Chordata; Mammalia; Dasyuromorphia; Dasyuridae
Exons: 3
Source: RefSeq, a predicted model, not a curated record